AGGUAAUCAAUAUUAUUUACAAUAUCAUAAAAUAUGAAAUACUUAGGUAUAAAUUUAAUGAAAUAUGUGCAAGAUUUAAUGUUGAAAAUAUAAAACAUUGCUGAGAAAAAUUAAAUAAGACCUACUAAAUGGAGAGAUAUAUCAUAUUUAUGGAUUGGAAAACUCAAUAUUUAGAUGCCAAUUCUCUCUGGCUUGAUCUAUAGGUGCAAUGUAUUCCCAAUCAAAAUCCCUGCAGGAUUUUUUGAUAGAAGUUUGCAAAUUGAUUCUAAAUUGAUUCUUGUAUUUAUGUGCAAAAUAUAACAUCAAGUUUUAUUGCUAGAUAAAAUGCUGGCAACAUUUAUUGAAUGUUUACCAUGUCCCAGGUAUUGUUUCACCUACUUUGAAUGCAUUAGGAAAUCUAAUUGUCACAAAAACUCUCUAAGGGAGGUAGAAUAGUGUUAUCUCCAUUUUAUGGAUAUGCAGACAUAAAGCAGGCAAAUAACUUGUCUGGGUUUAUCAGCUUUUAGGUUGGAGAGUUUGCCAUUGAAUCCAGGCAAUUGAAAUCCAGAGUCUGGCUGUUUAAUUACUUGGAAUCACCAGUUUCUGUACCAGUUAGCUAUUGCUAUAAACAACCACAAAAUCUCAGUGGAGAAAAGGCUGCACCUAUACUGGUACUGGAAACAAGUUCAACCAAUGCAGGCAACUGUUAUAUCCUGACAGAGGAGAUCGAGAUGUUAUCAAGGAAAGAUGGCCAGCUGCCCAGGCUGGGGGUCAGUAGGCUGGUGACAUCAUCAUAAAUUUUCACACUGAGACUUUAACAUUGCAAGUCUAGAAAAUUGGUUCCGUUGGUGUGAUGGAGGCUAAUCAAGUUUUGGAGGAGGGGUGGCUUCCACUAGCCAGUCUCACAGAGACGGAGACAUAAAUCUAAAGUAAAUUCACAAUAGAAAAUCUAAUGCUGCAGCACACCAAAAAGUUUGUCUCUGGUUGGUGUAGUCUCUCUCUUUUGGCAAAUCUAUUAAAAAUGCUAAAGUAUUAUCCAGAAGGCUAAAUGGAAAGCAAGGAAUUAGAAACAGACAGCAGGGAGUGAAGCUGAGGGGUAAGUAAAGAGAGGGUCUUUUGCAUGAGUGGAACAGUGAGUGUCUCCAAGUUGCAGCUG
Molecule: long non-coding RNA, 1135 nt
Filed under: Felis catus (domestic cat)
Lineage: Eukaryota; Metazoa; Chordata; Mammalia; Carnivora; Felidae
Description: lncRNA (ENSFCAG00000047184.1)
Source: RNAcentral